GCUCAACCGAGGAAGUGCUUCGAAAACUGGUAAACUUGAGUGCAGAAGAGGAAAGUGGAACUCCAUGUGUAGCGGUGGAAUGCGUAGAUAUAUGGAAGAACACCAGUGGCGAAGGCGGCUUUCUGGUCUGUAACUGACGCUGAGAUUCGAAAGCAUGGGUAGCAAACAGGAUUAGAUACCCUGGUAGUCCAUGCCGUAAACGAUGAGUGCUAAGUGUUGGAGGGCUUCCGCCCUUCAGUGCUGCAGCUAACGCAUUAAGCACUCCGCCUGGGGAGUACGAUCGCAAGAUUGAAAUUCAAAGGAAUUGACGGGGGCCCGCACAAGCGGUGGAGCAUGUGGUUUAAUUCGAAGCAACGCGAAGAACCUUACCAGGUCUUGACAUACCAUGAAAAGCUAAGAGAUUAGUCUUUCCCUUCGGGGACAUGGAUACAGGUGGUGCAUGGUUGUCGUCAGCUCGUGUCGUGAGAUGUUGGGCUAAGUCCCGCAACGAGCGCAACCCUUAUUAUCAGUUGCCAGCAUUCAGUUGGGCACUCUGGUGAGACUGCCGGUGACAAACCGGAGGAAGGUGGGGACGACGUCAAAUCAUCAUGCCCCUUAUGACCUGGGGCUACACACGUGCUACAAUGGUCGGUACAACG
RNAcentral lists this ribosomal RNA (638 nucleotides) under uncultured bacterium. RNAcentral's name for it is "bacterial SSU rRNA". It matches the Rfam family "Bacterial small subunit ribosomal RNA", at positions 607 to 1244 of the family's 1533-position model. The record is from RNAcentral.